This 182-nucleotide ribosomal RNA is filed under the name uncultured bacterium. RNAcentral describes it as "partial 16S ribosomal RNA". It matches the Rfam family "Bacterial small subunit ribosomal RNA", at positions 1319 to 1500 of the family's 1533-position model. The record is from RNAcentral.
CAUGAAGCCGGAAUCGCUAGUAAUCGCGGAUCAGAAUGCCGCGGUGAAUACGUUCCCGGGUCUUGUACACACCGCCCGUCACACCAUGGGAGUCGGAAAUGCCCGAAGUCUGUGACCCAACCGUAAGGAGGGAGCAGCCGAAGGCAGGUCGGAUGACUGGGGUGAAGUCGUAACAAGGUACC